UAGGGAAUAUUGGUCAUGGGCGCAAGCCUGAACCAGCAACGCCGCGUGUGCGAUGAAGGCCUUCGGGUCGUAAAGCACUUUUUGGAGGGAUGAGGAAGGACAGUACCUCCAGAAUAAGCCUCGGCUAACUACGUGCCAGCAGCCGCGGUAACACGUAGGAGGCAAGCGUUAUUCGGAUUUACUGGGCGUAAAGCGCGUGCAGGCGGUUCGGUAAGUUGGAUGUGAAAGCUCCUGGCUUAACUGGGAGAGGGCGUUCAAUACGUCCGGACUUGAGAGUGGGAGAGGGAGGUGGAAUUCCGGGUGUAGUGGUGAAAUGCGUAGAUAUGCGGAGGAACACCAGUGGCGAAAGCGGCCUCCUGGCCCAUUUCUGACGCUCAGACGCGAAAGCUAGGGUAGCAAACG
RNAcentral lists this ribosomal RNA (402 nucleotides) under uncultured prokaryote. RNAcentral describes it as "bacterial SSU rRNA". It matches the Rfam family "Bacterial small subunit ribosomal RNA", at positions 355 to 774 of the family's 1533-position model. The record is from RNAcentral.